Molecule: small RNA, 78 nt
Organism: Pseudomonas aeruginosa PAO1
Lineage: Bacteria; Pseudomonadati; Pseudomonadota; Gammaproteobacteria; Pseudomonadales; Pseudomonadaceae
Rfam family: Pseudomonas sRNA P8
Source: Rfam
GAGGCUUCGGCGAAAAUUUGUGCACAAAUGGAAAGCAGCUUGUCAAGGGUUGAGAGCGUUAGGCUCUAAACGCUUGAU